Molecule: unclassified non-coding RNA, 395 nt
Filed under: soil metagenome
Description: partial contains 5.8S ribosomal RNA, internal transcribed spacer 2, and large subunit ribosomal RNA
Rfam family: 5.8S ribosomal RNA (bases 1-122)
Source: RNAcentral
GAUGAAGAACGUAGCGAAAUGCGGUACUUGGUGUGAAUUGCAGAAUCCCGUGAACCAUCGAGUCUUUGAACGCAAGUUGCGCCCGAAGCCAUCAGGUUGAGGGCACGUCUGCCUGGGCGUCACAUAUCGUUGCCCAAUGCCUAUUGCAGUGCAAUAGGAAUUUCUAGGGUGAAUGAUGGCUUCCCGUGAGCGUUGUUGCCUCGCGGUUGGUUGAAAAUCGAGUCCUUGGUAGGGUGUGCCAUGGUAGAUGGUGGUCGAGUUAGAACGAUACCGAUCAUGUGCAUGCUCCCCAAAAUAUGGCCUCUAUGACCCACACGCGUCUUUUGACGCUCAUGACGAGACCUCAGGUCAGGCGGGGCUACCCGCUGAAUUUAAGCAUAUCAAUAAGCGGAGGA